AAGCGGUGGAGCAUGUGGUUUAAUUCGGAAGCAACGCGAAGAACCUUACCAGGUCUUGACAUCCCGAUGCUAUUUCUAGAGAUAGAAGUUACUUCGGUACAUCGGUGACAGGUGGUGCAUGGUUGUCGUCAGCUCGUGUCGUGAGAUGUUGGGUUAAGUCCCGCAACGAGCGCAACCCCUAUUGUUAGUUGCCAUCAUUCAGUUGGGCACUCUAGCGAGACUGCCGGUAAUAAACCGGAGGAAGGUGGGGAUGACGUCAAAUCAUCAUGCCCCUUAUGACCUGGGCUACACACGUGCUACAAUGGUUGGUACAACGAGUUGCGAGUCGGUGACGGCGAGCUAAUCUCUUAAAGCCAAUCUCAGUUCGGAUUGUAGGCUGCAACUCGCCUACAUGAAGUCGGAAUCGCUAGUAAUCGCGGAUCAGCACGCCGCGGUGAAUACGUUCCCGGGCCUU
This 454-nucleotide ribosomal RNA is filed under the name uncultured Streptococcus sp. Its description in RNAcentral is "bacterial SSU rRNA". It matches the Rfam family "Bacterial small subunit ribosomal RNA", at positions 927 to 1382 of the family's 1533-position model. The record is from RNAcentral. Lineage: Bacteria; Bacillati; Bacillota; Bacilli; Lactobacillales; Streptococcaceae.